Molecule: long non-coding RNA, 240 nt
Filed under: Carica papaya (papaya)
Lineage: Eukaryota; Viridiplantae; Streptophyta; Magnoliopsida; Brassicales; Caricaceae
Description: long non-coding RNA (CPAP_LNC011923)
Source: RNAcentral
AAUAUGAGUUCCAAUUACACACAUAUAUAACUGAGACCAAAAGUGGCAAAAAAAUACAAAAGAUCAAAAUACAAAAGGGUCACUUCUUUCACUAUGCGAUUGGACUCAUUAGAGUGCAGGACAAAUCAUGCACUCAAGGUUUGUGGAUCCAUAGAAUCCUCAUAGACUUCAAAGGAUAGGCUAGCGAUUGGUUCCUCACUCUUUUCCUCAUUUGAGGGGAAGGUAUUGAAAUGGGAGUUC